This 253-nucleotide ribosomal RNA is filed under the name uncultured bacterium. RNAcentral's name for it is "partial 16S ribosomal RNA". It matches the Rfam family "Bacterial small subunit ribosomal RNA", at positions 524 to 776 of the family's 1533-position model. The record is from RNAcentral.
GACAGAGGGUGCAAACGUUGUUCGGAAUUACUGGGCGUAAAGGGCUCGUAGGCGGCCAACUAAGUCAGACGUGAAAUCCCUCGGCUUAACCGGGGAACUGCGUCUGAUACUGGAUGGCUUGAGUUUGGGAGAGGGAUGCGGAAUUCCAGGUGUAGCGGUGAAAUGCGUAGAUAUCUGGAGGAACACCGGUGGCGAAGGCGGCAUCCUGGACCGGCAUUGACGCUGAGGCGCGAAAGCCAGGGGAGCAAACGGG